This 507-nucleotide unclassified non-coding RNA is filed under the name uncultured Entrophospora. RNAcentral's name for it is "SSU rRNA". It matches the Rfam family "Eukaryotic small subunit ribosomal RNA", at positions 591 to 1092 of the family's 1831-position model. Lineage: Eukaryota; Fungi; Glomeromycota; Glomeromycetes; Entrophosporales; Entrophosporaceae. The record is from RNAcentral.
CCAAUAGCGUAUAUUAAAGUUGUUGCAGUUAAAAAGCUCGUAGUCGAAUUUCGGGAUUGACGUGAUGGUCAUGCCUUAAGGGGUAUGAACUGUCGCUGUUGAUUUCUCACCUUCUGGAGAAACUUGAUGUCCUUUAUUGGGUGUCUUGCGGAUCCAGGACCUUUACCUUGAAAAAAUUAGAGUGUUUAAAGCAGGCAUUUUUGCUCGAAUACAUUAGCAUGGAAUAAUAGAAUAGGACGGCAUGGUUCUAUUUUGUUGGUUUCUAGGAUCACCGUAAUGAUUAAUAGGGAUAGUUGGGGGCAUUAGUAUUCAAUUGUCAGAGGUGAAAUUCUUGGAUUUAUUGAAGACUAACUACUGCGAAAGCAUUUGCCAAGGAUGUUUUCAUUAAUCAAGAACGAAAGUUAGGGGAUCGAAGACGAUCAGAUACCGUCGUAGUCUUAACCAUAAACUAUGCCGACUAGGAAUCAGACGAUGUUAAUUUUUUAAUGACUCGUUUGGCACCUUACG